Molecule: ribosomal RNA, 301 nt
Filed under: uncultured bacterium
Lineage: Bacteria
Description: partial 16S ribosomal RNA
Rfam family: Bacterial small subunit ribosomal RNA
Source: RNAcentral
CAGUCGCCACGGGAAUACGAAGGGGGCUAGCGUUGUUCGGAUUUACUGGGCGUAAAGCGCACGUAGGCGGUUUGUUAAGUCAGAGGUGAAAUCCCGGAGCUCAACUCCGGAACUGCCUUUGAUACUGGCAAGCUAGAGUCCGGAAGAGGUAAGUGGAACUCCUAGUGUAGAGGUGGAAUUCGUAGAUAUUAGGAAGAACACCAGUGGCGAAGGCGGCUUACUGGUCCGGAACUGACGCUGAGGUGCGAAAGCGUGGGGAGCAAACAGGAUUAGAUACCCGCGUAGUCCCUGUCUCUUAUAC